Harmonia axyridis is the source of this 827-nucleotide long non-coding RNA. RefSeq lists it as uncharacterized. The transcript is spliced from 4 exons. NCBI's taxonomy places the organism in Eukaryota, Metazoa, Arthropoda, Insecta, Coleoptera, Coccinellidae. The record is from RefSeq and is a predicted model, not a curated record.
UCUAAAACCAACUAUUGAAUAUAAGAUUAUUGACGAAAUAGAAAACCUCAACAUAGGUCUAAUGGAAUUCAACAACUUCACCCGCAUCGUAAUACAUAUGACUAAAUUGUCCUGAAGAAGAUCCCAAAUAGAAUCGAAACGUCGACAGUUGAAACUGAGUGUAUUAUUCACCCUAUUAGCAGUCCUGAAGCCAAGAUCCCUAUUUCCUGAGUUGAAUGCAAGGACGAGAUUUGUUGGAUAUGGACGCUUAUUUAUUUUACCGCUGAGUCGUCACUCUUUCCCUCCUUUCUCUAUGGGGAGAAACCUUAUUCCUUGUAUUGUACUCCUACCAUAUAUAAACUCUUCAUAUAAGGGCGUGCUCCGAGGACAGCCCGUCAGAUUAUUAAAAGAAAAAUCAAAUCUCAGAAAAACUCGAGCGCGUCAGAUUAAGGCUAACGUGGCAUGAGGAAAUGGGUGAGUGGCAAAAUUGUAAAAAAAAACGUCACUGUGAAAUACUCGAGCGCGAUUAAAUUUUUUUUAUUUUGAAGGAAAUCCUGUAAGUAUAACAAAAUAAAAAUAAUCUGACGAUUUUCAUGGGGCGAUGUAGCUUAAACCAUAAAUAAAGUGUGGUGCGUACAGCUGCUGAGAACUGGAUUGAAACUCCUCAGGUGUCAUAACACCUGACAUAUCAGGAGAUACUUUAGAUUCAGAAACACAAAAUGAAGAAGAAAUUGACCAUGGAGGAAUCAAUUUUGAAGAUGAAUCCAGUGAGGAUGAAGAUUAAAAAAUUUUUUUAUAUUCUUUAAUCUAUUAUUGUAUUAAUAAAUAAUGAUAAAAUUACACCUACA